AUGCUCACCUCAGCAGCACAUAUACUAAAAUUAGAAUGAUAUAGAGAAGAUUAGCAUGGCCCCUGCACAAGGAUGACAAGUAAAUUUAUGAAGCGUUCCGUAUUUUU
Mastomys coucha (southern multimammate mouse) is the source of this 107-nucleotide small nuclear RNA. Lineage: Eukaryota; Metazoa; Chordata; Mammalia; Rodentia; Muridae. The record is from RefSeq and is a predicted model, not a curated record.